RNAcentral lists this unclassified non-coding RNA (4048 nucleotides) under Stegodyphus dumicola. Its description in RNAcentral is "uncharacterized LOC118185238, transcript variant X6". The record is from RNAcentral. Lineage: Eukaryota; Metazoa; Arthropoda; Arachnida; Araneae; Eresidae.
UUUUGUUGUUGUGUGUCUAUUUGAUUGUCGUUGAAGGGUGUGUUUGUUUCGGUGUUUAAUGCACAAUGGACGAUUGUCUGAAUCUGGAAUUUUUUUAUCAGUUGGAGCGAAAAGGUAAAAAAAGCGUGAUUGAGUGGUGUAUGGAGAAACGUUUGAUUACAAGAUCGUAUAAAUGUCCAAUUUGUAAAACUGAUAUGAAAUUAGUAGAGCGAAAGAAUUGUCUAGAUGGUUUUGAGUGGAUGUGUAGAGUAACGCGAGGUGAAUGUAAGCAUCGAAUUUCAAGGUCUGUUCGAAAGGAUUCGUGGUUUACGAAGAGUAAAUUGAGCAUGUGUGAUAUUUUGAGAGUUACAUAUAUGUGGCUUGGCAAAUGCCGAAAUGAUUUUAUCCGUUCUGAGUUAGGAGUGGCUAAAAACACUGUGACUUGCUGGAAGAGUUUUUGUAGGGAAGUAUGCAUAGAGUUAUGUUUGAAAGAAAAUAUAAUGCGGGAUGAGGAGGAUGCUCCGCAGGCAACAGAACAAUUAGACUCGUAUCUGGCCGAGCAUAUGUGGAGAAGACAGAAGAAGGAAUCAAACACUUGCAAGUUAAUGCAAAUAUUUCUAAAUAAUAUCUCGACAGUGUAUUCUGUAAAAGGUGAGGACUAAAGUAAAAGCAGAUCAUUGUGUAUAUGAAGAAAAUAACAGCACAGAAAAAAUUGCAGAAAGUUAUCUGGAAAAAGAAUAUGCCUAUUCAGCUGAACUGCAUUAUGUGAGCAAGCUGAAAAGAAAUAAGAAAUGCAUCAUGUGAGCAAGCUGAAAAGAAAUUUCUAAAUUUUCUGAUAAACAGAUAUCUCAAGAAUUUCGUCAAUUAUACUUUUGUUCCUCAAUGCUGGUUAUAGACAGUGCUAUUCAGUUUCCUAAGGUAUGAUAUAUAUAUAUAUACAGUAUAUAUAUAUAUUGUGAUACUGUAAUUUUAUGGGCAGUGUAGUCUUAUCUGGCACUGACUUUGGGUCUGCAGGUAUGGUAUAUGAAAUCUGUAACUGUAUUAUUAGUUUGUAUUCAAGAGCAGACAGAUAGGUAUUUAUUCAGUUCUACUUUUCUUUUUAACAUCAUUCCUUAUAUAACUGUGUAAAGUUCAUGAUAUAUAUAAUUAGUUAACUUCAACUCAUUGGUGUAACAUUGGGCCAAAUCUGCAGUAAACUCAAAAUCCUGGUUAAUCCGAGAUUUUUUUAAAAAAAGAGUAACCAGUGUUCAGCUUAAUUGACCAAACAAAUUAUGAAGCAAUACUAGUUGUUGCCCAGUAGUUUUUACUGGCUGUCUUUGUAGGAUUCUCAAGAAAAUUAUAAAUGUUUACCUUGUCUAUUAUCUCAAGCAAAAUGGCUUAUUUUCUCUUGAUCAAAGUAUUUUAGGAAAAGCAGAUUUGGUAUUGGUAACAUCAUUUUACUAGAAAGUGCAAUAUGAAAUUCUUUGUAGAAGGAAAGUAUUUUGAUUUCUUUCUUUUUCAGUAUAGAAAAGGCAAAUGAUAAAAAUAGAGAUGAAAAAAGCUUCAAGACCUCUGCCAUUGUAAUCUGUGCAGGAACCUCCCUACUUUCAUUCAGACUUUUUAUAAAUUUUAUACUUUCAAAUUUAAGCUUGACAUUCUGCUACUCAGUGUUUUCUUACAAGAAGGUGUCUCUCAAGGACGUGUGCUGAAUAUGACUCUUUUUUAAUUUGAAAAUCAACUUGAUCGUGAAGGAACUAUCUUUGGAUCCAUGUAUGUUGAUGAUUUACAACUAAGUUGCCAAGAAGCAAAUGUGCAAUAAAUAGAAAGACAACUGCAAAAAGCACACAACAGGAUUUUGAAAUAAUCCAAGAAUAUUUUCAAAAUCAAGACAAAAAAUUGUUUGUGUGCAUUUCUGUACCAAGAAGAGUCUGUAUCCUGAACUUGAAGUUUUUCUGGAUGGUUCAUUGAUCCCACUGAAUUCUGAAGCAAAAUUUUUAGAUAUUAUUUUUGAAAAGAAACUUGCAUUUCUUUUUUUUUUUUUUUUUUUCCCCUCAUAUUUUAAAAGCUUGAACAAAUGUAUUUUAAAAUGUCUUAUCAAAUAUGGCCUGUGAAGCUGACGAAUGCUUGAAGUUUUGCAUAUAUAGAAAGAGCCAUUGUACCAUUGAUUAUGAAUCAUUUAAUUUAUGGCUCUGUGAAACCUUUCUUAUUAUUGAAACUUGAUCCUGUUCAUAAUCAGCUUCUAAGGAUUUGUUUUGGAACCUUCAGAACAUCCUCUGCACUACUAUGUUGAAUGCUUUGAAUCUUCAUUAAAGCUGAGAUGAGAACGCUUAGUGUAGCCUUUGUGUUAUUAUUUUUUUUAAUAUUAUGCCACAGCCUCGAUGACUUUCAGUGCUUGAGGAUCUAUAAAGUCCAAAACUAUCUAAAAUCUGGACCUCUGGAUCACCAGCAAUUUUUGUUUUAUGCUUCACAUAUGUGCAUUUGUAUUUUUUCAUAAUAAAAUAUGAGGAAAGUCCCAAUUCUUAAUUUUAGUUGUCUCUAAAUGAAAUACCUCCAUAUUUACGAAACCCAUCAGUUUUCCAUAAACCUGUAUGAUCAAUAAUUUGGCUCCAUAGAUGCCCUUUUCCUUUGCAUAUAUCUCAAACCAAAAAAUUCUAAAUUCAAUCGAAACAUCUUGGAUUUUACACCUAUUGAAUGGUUAAAAUCCAUGAUGCUAACAUGGUGAAUCUCUAUUUAUUAUUUUUGUUUUUAUCACUGCCUGACUAUCAACACAUGGCAGCUCAAGGAAUGACUCGUCUAACAAGGACUCAACAAUUUGUUUGUAGUAAUUGAAUAUCAAUGAGCAUGGUAACCUUUUAUGUUGACAUUAUGCUUAGGAUGAUUACAGACUUUAGCUAACUGUACUGCAAAGUGUGAAGUGCAUUGUGACAAAGAGGAAAUUUAACAGCAAUUUAUUUCCUUACGCAAAAAAAUAGAUUUUAUAAAUGAUACUCAUAGUCCAAAAGAAAACAUUUAUUGCUCUUUGAAUUGAGAAUAAUUUAUUAUUAAGUCCAGGACUGUCAUCAGAGCUGCUGCAUCCAACUUUAGGUAAGGCAAAAUUUUUAGAAUUUAGAAAAACACCAAGCAACAAAACUGAGGGAUAGCAAAAUCUUUAAUCUUUAUGAAAAGCACUGGGAUGCAAAAUUUUUAGAACUUAAAAUGUGGAGAGACUGCACCGGGCCACAAAAUUUCUAGCAUUGGUUCUUGAUAUGCCUUAAGUAUAUAUGGGAAUUUAUUCAAGCUUUAAGCAUAUACAAGGAAUAGACGUAAGUAUAAUAAAUAACUAAUAUAAUCCAAGCUUAACUUUGUCAGUGCAUAAUAGAGCAAAACAGAAUUUAUCGGGAUGAGAUGUUCUUAGUCGCCAGUCUUGAGAUACAUCUCCAGUAGUGUAUAGUGAAUGUUAACUAAGCUUUAUGAUGAUAGCCAUAAAUUUGAAGAAUUUCAGAUAUUGCAAACAAAAAGUUAAUUUUUCUAAUUAUUGGAAUUUGUGAAAUGUGGAGAAGUAAUAAAUGAAGAUGCUGUAACAGCUUUUCAUUGCGAUGGCAGUACCCUAAUCAUCAGUCAACUAACACGCAGUGAAAUGUGUAGUAUGAUUCUAAAUCCAGAAAAUAUUGUUAUCAAUAGAGAAGAGAGUGACAGAGGAGAGAACAAAUACAGGAUUUGAAGUUUGGAACUUUGCAGCUGAACAAGAAAUCAUGUCUCUCUAUAGAAUUAAAGAGGAAGUAUUAGCACAAAAAAGGAGCAACUUACAUUAAAAGAAAUGUGUAAUAAAGAAAAAAAAAAAAAAAAUGCUGAGCUCUUUUUUAAUGAAUUUUAUUCCUUGAAAGUGAUAAAUUCUACAUGUCAGCUUAUCGAGAUUUAGUAUCUGGAAGAAUCUAAAAUCCAGAAUCAUGUAAGUCCCAACGAGUCUGUAUCUCGGACUUUGUACUGUAUUAUUCUCUGUACCAAGUGCAACAAUUUUGUAUCCCUGCUUCUAGUUGAUAUGUUCGAAUACUUGAGCAAGAUUAUUGCUUGAAAAAAUUUGAAAGAAUAAAUAGCCCUUCGAAUUUCCCCA